CAGACAUUCAGAUCAUGGCAGAACUGUCACAGAUGUUACUUUGUGAAAACACAAAGAAUAAUGUGUUUGGAGAGAUCAGUCUUCAAUUAGCUAUAUUUUCUAGGAGCCUACCUUUACUUAGCCUCACAACAUGGGCCUUAGCUUUAGCACUUAAUCUGCACAAAUACCUGGCUUAAGUGUUAUGACUGACUGGCUAUUCAACCAAACCAUACAAAUGACCAAUUCGGUAAGAAAGCAUGAACUUCAGUGUUGAACCAAAUCAACCAACCUCCUCAAUCCAAAUGGAGAGGAUAACAAAGGAAGCUGAGGAAGUCUGUUCUGGAGGCACCAUGACAAAGCACCAGACAGAAAGCAGUCACGUGUGGGGAGAUGAGCAGAGACACCACUUCUCAAGCACCUGAUUAUUCUUUCUCAGUAUUUAGAAGCAAAAAUUAUCCUUAAGAAAAACAACCGCAAACGCAACACAGGCUACACAGAUGAGAAAAUGGGGCUUGCAGAGCUCAAACCAUUACACCAUUCAGAAGCUGGCUUUGGUAUUACUUCAAGUUAUUCAAAACAGUCACCACUUGCUGAGCCUCUGAUGUCUCAUCUGUUGAAUGGGUACAUUUUCUUCCUGAUCCUUCCACCUCUAAACUUGUCUAUUUCCAAGGAUCUAUGGCAUCCAGGCAUAUGAUUUCAAGAGAGAAGGCUGAAAAGGAAGGUGACUGGAAUAUUAAGAACUGUGAGAUAUUCUGAGGAAACUCUAAUUUGUAAAUUGGUAGAAAUGCCAGUAAUUUGUUGGGAAUUGAAGACCCUCUGUAUUCAAGAGCGAAGCUUGGCAGCUGUGCACUGUUGUUUUAUAAAUCAAUAUUACAUCUGAA
RNAcentral lists this long non-coding RNA (860 nucleotides) under Homo sapiens (human). RNAcentral describes it as "HSALNT0302711". The record is from RNAcentral. Lineage: Eukaryota; Metazoa; Chordata; Mammalia; Primates; Hominidae.